GACAGAUCUGCUGGGCUUUUUGUGGAGUCCUCCUAACUCUUCUUCAGUUCUGCUUCUUUGAACUAGCCGGAGAGAUUUCAGAGGCAACUUCAAUCAUGAGGUUUCUUUUCCUAAUCUUUGCAUUGCUUCUUCUCUUCUAUGUUUCUUCAGGGCAAUUAAGAAACUGUAUAAGCGAUGGUGGUUUCUGUCAGACUGGUCUCCAAAAGGAAUGCGAGUUUGGAAGCCUCCCAUACAACUGUGGCAUUAAUGCCCUCUGCUGCAAGCGUGGACCGUGAAACCACCAACCAACAAGCAGUUGUAAAACCCUGGGAUAUUAUUGCUAUGUUCCUUAACAAGAACCUUGCUUCUCUAGGGUGGAACAUCCAACAACUGUGGUCUUAACGGAAAAUGUUGCAAACUGUUAUGUAACAGCAAGCAGUGAAAAAACAUUGUAAUUAAACAAUUUAAUGAAUUUGCAUCAAA
Molecule: long non-coding RNA, 462 nt
Organism: Crotalus tigris (Tiger rattlesnake)
Lineage: Eukaryota; Metazoa; Chordata; Lepidosauria; Squamata; Viperidae
Exons: 3
Source: RefSeq, a predicted model, not a curated record